Long non-coding RNA from Suricata suricatta (meerkat), 319 nucleotides. RefSeq lists it as uncharacterized. NCBI's taxonomy places the organism in Eukaryota, Metazoa, Chordata, Mammalia, Carnivora, Herpestidae. The transcript has 3 exons. The record is from RefSeq and is a predicted model, not a curated record.
GGCAGAGCGGCGGAGACUUGGUCUGGGAAGGGGCGGUGUGCACAGGAGUCCCCAGCAUCCAUGGCUUUGCCUUCCGGUGGUUUCAGGCACCUGUGUCAAUGGCGGUUCCGUCUGGAGGCAGAUGACCUUCCUUCCCACCUAGUGUCAGAAGGUCAACAGUAGCCAGAUACUGCAUCACAAUGCCUGUCAUUCACCUCAUGUCUCGCUUCAUCUCAUCACUAGACCUUUUAGCAUCUCACAAGAAGGGGGCUUCUGCAUCUCAGAUCCUUCCCAGGCUCCAAUGCAGUGUCCAGCUUCAAUUUCAGCAGCCACACAAACU